GACGGAGGGUGCUAGCGUUGUUCGGAAUUACUGGGCGUAAAGCGCGCGUAGGUGGUUUGUUAAGUUGAAUGUGAAAUCCCCGGGCUCAACCUGGGAACUGCAUGCAAAACUGGCAAGCUAGAGUAUGGUAGAGGGUGGUGGAAUUUCCUGUGUAGCGGUGAAAUGCGUAGAUAUAGGAAGGAACACCAGUGGCGAAGGCGACCACCUGGACUGAUACUGACACUGAGGUGCGAAAGCGUGGGGAGCAAACAGG
This 253-nucleotide ribosomal RNA is filed under the name uncultured bacterium. RNAcentral describes it as "partial 16S ribosomal RNA". It matches the Rfam family "Bacterial small subunit ribosomal RNA", at positions 524 to 776 of the family's 1533-position model. The record is from RNAcentral.